GCCUGCCCAGUGACUUUUUAAACGGCCGCGGUAUCCUAACCGUGCAAAGGUAGCAUAAUCACUUGUCCUUUAAAUAAGGACUAGCAUGAAUGGCUAAAUGAGGACUUAACUGUCUCUUAUAGCCCGCCAAUGAAACUGAUUUCCCAGUACAAAAGCUGGGAUAAACACACAAGACGAGAAGACCCUGUGGAGCUUCAAAUCAAACCCACCAACCAUGGUUAUAGAUUUUUAGUUGGGGCGACUUUGGAGCAU
This 252-nucleotide ribosomal RNA is filed under the name Phoenicolacerta cyanisparsa. RNAcentral's name for it is "partial large subunit ribosomal RNA". It matches the Rfam family "Archaeal large subunit ribosomal RNA", at positions 1949 to 2359 of the family's 2987-position model. The record is from RNAcentral. Lineage: Eukaryota; Metazoa; Chordata; Lepidosauria; Squamata; Lacertidae.